GCCUGGGUGGCUCAGUCGGUUGAGCAUCCGACUUCAGCUCAGGUCACGGUUCGUGAGUUCAAGCCCCGCGUCAGGCU
RNAcentral lists this transfer RNA (77 nucleotides) under Felis catus (domestic cat). It matches the Rfam family "tRNA". Rfam says of the family: Transfer RNA (tRNA) molecules are approximately 80 nucleotides in length. Their secondary structure includes four short double-helical elements and three loops (D, anti-codon, and T loops). The record is from Rfam by way of RNAcentral. Lineage: Eukaryota; Metazoa; Chordata; Mammalia; Carnivora; Felidae.